UGGAGAGUUUGAUCCUGGCUCAGGACGAACGCUGGCGGCGUGCCUAAUACAUGCAAGUAGAACGCUGAAGGAGGAGCUUGCUUCUCCGGAUGAGUUGCGAACGGGUGAGUAACGCGUAGGUAACCUGCCUGGUAGCGGGGGAUAACUAUUGGAAACGAUAGCUAAUACCGCAUAAGAGUAGAUGUUGCAUGACAUUUGCUUAAAAGGUGCAAUUGCAUCACUACCAGAUGGACCUGCGUUGUAUUAGCUAGUUGGUGGGGUAACGGCUCACCAAGGCGACGAUACAUAGCCGACCUGAGAGGGUGAUCGGCCACACUGGGACUGAGACACGGCCCAGACUCCUACGGGAGGCAGCAGUAGGGAAUCUUCGGCAAUGGACGGAAGUCUGACCGAGCAACGCCGCGUGAGUGAAGAAGGUUUUCGGAUCGUAAAGCUCUGUUGUAAGAGAAGAACGAGUGUGAGAGUGGAAAGUUCACACUGUGACGGUAUCUUACCAGAAAGGGACGGCUAACUACGUGCCAGCAGCCGCGGUA
This 533-nucleotide ribosomal RNA is filed under the name Streptococcus mitis. RNAcentral's name for it is "bacterial SSU rRNA". It matches the Rfam family "Bacterial small subunit ribosomal RNA", at positions 1 to 522 of the family's 1533-position model. Lineage: Bacteria; Bacillati; Bacillota; Bacilli; Lactobacillales; Streptococcaceae. The record is from RNAcentral.